AUGACUGACAUGAGGCGCCACUCCGUCUCCGUGGAUGUCCCACUGUCAAGAACCCUGGUGCAGCUCAAGCGAGUGAGGUCGCUGCGGGAUCCAGCAACAAACUCUAUGAGCAAGUAUGCAUCUCCUUCUGACAGUAUGAUCUGGGAGACUGCUUCUAGCAAUGGAGCGAUGAUGGAAGGAAGCAGGUCAGCACACCAUCAUUUGAUUGAAGAGGAUGUGGAUUUGGAAGCCGAAGCUACCAUGGGGUCAGAGCGAAGCUUCCGGGCACCAAAUGCAAGAACUGCAUCUUACAGGAAAUCUUCAGUUGUUAGGAUCAGAGGCUUCAACCCACCAAGAAACAAGCAAGUUCAUCGUGUCCGCGGGGAUGGUCACAGGAAAUCGGUGGAUUCUAACCACUCUAAUCAUAGCUCCCUUCGGCAGUUGGCAAACAAUAUAGUAACCAACGUGGUGGAGGAGAAGGAAGAGGAGGAGGUGAAUUCCUAUGAACGGGCACAUCUCGCUUUGCCAGAGAAGAGCGAGGAAGAAGUGAAAAGGCGUUCCAAAUUCAAGGGCAAGUCUUCUGCUGCAAUGAGCCGCGUUGGCAGCCCUUGUAUGUCUGCCAGUGAAGCGCGCUCAGUUGGGUCCAGAAGAAGCACAGUAGGGCAUGGAACUGAGGACACACGAGUGAGGUCGAAUGAUGUUGUAGGAUCAAACUUCAGUGGAUGCGGUAUAAGCUACUGCUGGUCAGGAGCAUCAAAGUACCGCGAUCUUUAUUCCGAUAGUGAUGGUCCAGAGCAACCUCUCCUAUCCCCAGAGGGGACUGAGGUACCGUUCCAAGAAAAUGUACCAUACACCGAGACACCAAGGUGUUUAAGCCAAAAAUUUCGCCCUCGAUCAUUCAGUGAACUGAUUGGCCUCAAUGUGGUUGCUCAGUCCCUAUUGUAUUCCUCUUGCAAAGGAAAGAUUGCUCCAAUGUACUUGUUCCAUGGCCCCCGGGGUACAGGCAAGACGUCUACGGCACGCAUUUUUGCUGCCGCUCUAAAUUGCCUCUCUCUCGAAGAGCAAAGGCCAUGUGGGUUCUGUAAAGAGUGUGUCAUUCUCUUCUCUGGGAGGAGCAGGGACGUAAAAGAAAUUGAUGCAGCAAAAAUGGAUCAUUUGGGCCGCGUAAAGGCACUUCUCAAGAGUGCAUCUCUUGUCCCAUACUCGUCACGCUUCAAGGUUUUCAUAGUUGAUGAAUGCCAUCUGUUGCUAGAAGAUGCCUGGUCGGCAAUAGUGAAGAGUCUUGAUGAGCCAUACCGGCAUGCUGUCUACAUUAUGAUUACUUCUGAUCUAGAUAGCUUGCCUCGCACUUCCGUCACACAUUGCCAGAAGUUCCAUUUUCCAAAGAUAAAGGUUGCAGAUAUUGUCAACAGGUUGGAGAGAAUCUGCGUAGAUGAAGGGUUAGAAUUUGACCAUGAUGCGGUGCACUUCAUUGCUGCAAAGUCUAAUGGUUCUCUUAGAGACGCUGAAAUAAUGCUGGAUCAACUUAGUUUGCUUGGGAAGAGGGUCACGAUUUCUCUUGUGCAUGAACUUGUAGGAUUGGUUUCUGAUGAUGAGUUGAUUGAGUUGCUUGAUCUAGCACUGUCAUCGGACACAACCAAUACAGUUAGACGAGCUCGGGAACUUAUGGCGUCGUCAGUUGAUCCCCUGCAGCUGGUCUCUCAGCUGGCAAACCUUAUUAUGGACAUUCUCUCAGGACGAUGCCAAUCUGCGGUAACAGAAGUCAGCAAAAGUUUCUUGGGAAGAUAUGCGUUGGCAGAUGUUGGUAUAGAGAAACUAAGACAUGCACUCAAAAUACUGUCAGAAACUGAAAAACAGUUGAGGACAUCAAGAAAUAAGGCAACUUGGGUUACUGUUGCACUUUUGCAGUUUGGCAGUUCUGAAUCUGACAUAGUAGCAGAAACAAAUGACAUGCAUGCACGCUCAGCAACAGGAUAUACAGAUGACUGGGUAUCCAAGGUAAACUCAAGCUCCAAUUUCUGCGAUGCGUGUAACAGCAAUAAGUCCAACUGUUCCGAGAGACACUGUAGACGGCUUAAGCUUGAAAACAUCUGGAGGAGAGCCACUGGGAAGUGUCAAUCAAGAUCAGCCAGAAGUUUCCUCAAGAAAGAAGGAAUCCUAUCAUCAGUCCAUGUUACCGAAGGUAAUUCAGAGGUGGCUAUAGCUGAAGUUGGAUUUAGUCACCCGGAUCACCUAUCAAGGGCAGAGAAAAUGCAAAGCCUGAUACAAGGAGUACUGCAGCACGUUCUCGGGUUCAAUGUGGAGGUUAGAUUCAAACUUGUCCCGUGUGCAGCGAGGAAAGAUGCAAGGUCAAAGAGACACUCAUUCAACCUGCUCGGCUGCUCGGGACGAAAGCAAGAGCUGUCAGAUUCCACAGUGACAGAUGAGGAUGAACCUGUGAGGCUUGGAGCAAGAGAAACACCUCACAAAGGCUACUCCUCUAGUCAGCAGCCAUCGCCAUUCAUCGUGCAACGUGUUGAUUCUAAGCCAACAGUUCAUGGCUCCGAGGACGAUGCCCGGAGCACCUUGACAUCAAACAGAUCCAUGACUGAUGACCUGACAAGGACAUGUAGGUCGGAGACUAACUACUCCAAGGGCGCAAGUGAGCAGGGUCGUUUCGACAGCAUCCAGGAGCCUGACCUUCAGCCGAAUUGCUUCUCACGAACAUUGAAGCUGCAAAAGAGGUUCUUCUCGUCAGAUGCAGCACACACAAUCUGCUUCAGGAUCCAGCCACACAACAAAAUGGGUUUCCUACCUAAGAAAGAAUUCGAUACAUAUUUCUGCACAUAUGGGCCGUAUGAGCAGUGUCCAAGAUCGAAUUCAAGAGCUACUUACGGUUCGAGAGAUGAGGACUUGUCCAUCAAGACUUCUUCUGGGUUUGGUUCGAACCUGCUCUGCUGGAAGGGCCCUAAACAGUCAAUCUAA
Molecule: ribosomal RNA, 2943 nt
Filed under: Triticum aestivum (bread wheat)
Lineage: Eukaryota; Viridiplantae; Streptophyta; Magnoliopsida; Poales; Poaceae
Description: partial small subunit ribosomal RNA
Source: RNAcentral